This 901-nucleotide ribosomal RNA is filed under the name uncultured bacterium. RNAcentral's name for it is "bacterial SSU rRNA". It matches the Rfam family "Bacterial small subunit ribosomal RNA", at positions 54 to 948 of the family's 1533-position model. The record is from RNAcentral.
CAUGCAAGUCGAGGGGCAGCAUGAACUUAGCUUGCUAAGUUUGAUGGCGACCGGCGCACGGGUGAGUAACACGUAUCCAACCUGCCGAUGACUCGGGGAUAGCCUUUCGAAAGAAAGAUUAAUACCCGAUGGCAUAGUUCUUCCGCAUGGUGGAACUAUUAAAGAAUUUCGGUCAUCGAUGGGGAUGCGUUCCAUUAGGUUGUUGGCGGGGUAACGGCCCACCAAGCCUUCGAUGGAUAGGGGUUCUGAGAGGAAGGUCCCCCACAUUGGAACUGAGACACGGUCCAAACUCCUACGGGAGGCAGCAGUGAGGAAUAUUGGUCAAUGGACGAGAGUCUGAACCAGCCAAGUAGCGUGAAGGAUGACUGCCCUAUGGGUUGUAAACUUCUUUUAUACGGGAAUAAAGUGAGGCACGUGUGCCUUUUUGUAUGUACCGUAUGAAUAAGGAUCGGCUAACUCCGUGCCAGCAGCCGCGGUAAUACGGAGGAUCCGAGCGUUAUCCGGAUUUAUUGGGUUUAAAGGGAGCGUAGGCGGACGCUUAAGUCAGUUGUGAAAGUUUGCGGCUCAACCGUAAAAUUGCAGUUGAUACUGGGUGUCUUGAGUACAGUAGAGGCAGGCGGAAUUCGUGGUGUAGCGGUGAAAUGCUUAGAUAUCACGAAGAACUCCGAUUGCGAAGGCAGCCUGCUGGACUGUAACUGACGCUGAUGCUCGAAAGUGUGGGUAUCAAACAGGAUUAGAUACCCUGGUAGUCCACACAGUAAACGAUGAAUACUCGCUGUUUGCGAUAUACAGUAAGCGGCCAAGCGAAAGCGUUAAGUAUUCCACCUGGGGAGUACGCCGGCAACGGUGAAACUCAAAGGAAUUGACGGGGGCCCGCACAAGCGGAGGAACAUGUGGUUUA